AAUGUGAUGCUCUGGUAUCUGUCACCCUUAACCGCAUCUGCUGAAGCAAUGGAUUCUAGUUCAGCCAUUUCUUCUGGAGUUGGUUUCUCCAACAAAGCCCCAAUGUUUUGGUUGAGGUUUUCAAUCUUGGUAGUUCCCGGAGAGGGACACACAUCAUCCCCCUGGUGAUGGACCCAGGCCAGUGCUAGUUGUGAUGGAGUGCACCCCUUCCUUGUCGCAAUUUCACUAACCCGCUCAUAAAGGAUUUUAUUAUGCUCAAGAUUCUCCGGCUGGAACCUUGGUAGGUUCUGCAAUAUGAAACACGCAUCUCAGUAACAAAAUUGAAAACCCGACAUAAUUGCAUAACAUCAUUAUUCAGUGAUAAUGAAUCAUACGUGCGCUUCUAACAUUAGUUGAUAACACAAUAAGGCAGGUUCUCAGUCAUAAUAUAGAGUCAAGCCCUCUUGUUUAAACAGAUUAUAAGAUCUUGGACAACGUCGACGUCAACUGAAUCAAGUGCCAUUGUGAACAACAUGGCACUAGGUUAUGGCAUUGAGGCAUUUUCAUUACAUGAAUCAUCCAAAUGAACCGCCCUCUUUCUCAAGAAACAGCCUCCCAAAAAUUUAAAAUACAUAAACAAAUGUGCUAGUGUUGUGAGUAAGUUGCAGUAUCAGAGGUCAAAAACCAUUUCCUCAAUUGAGCUUUCCGGCCCUAAUACAAAGAGCCUCAGAGGACAGAUUAUAUAGUGAUUUGAAAGAAAAUAUUGAAUUAAAAUAAGGAGAAAAAUAGAGCAGAAAAAUAAGGGCUAGAUGAGAAAUAAGGACAUGGUAUUCUGGUAGAUGUAAAUGUUCGUCGAUAUUCUAUCUUUUAUAAUCUUUCUGCACAGUUUAGGUGAACUAAAAACUAUACCACCUCUGGGUCACAAAGUUUAUAAAGAAAACAAUUUGUUCUGUGAAUUGUUUCUCCCCAAAACUUAGGUCCUGUCGGUUUGGGUUUGGGCAUGGUUAAUUUGCCGGCAGUGUGUUCAUCACAGCUCUAACAACAAUUAAAACAAACAAGAAUUGUAGCUGUUGGCUGAAGGUGUUUUGUCGUGAUGAACUUCAACCAUCAAAUCAGCACAAAUAAGAUAUAAAAGGGCUUUUUCAACCAACUGAUUAGAUUUUUCUGGUCAGGAAAGCACACUGUCAAAGAGAUAGACUAGAUACGCAUUUACAGAUAAACUUCAUUUCCUUUCUCUUCUUGGCUCUACAAAUUAAAGGAAGUUGCUCCUUUUUUAGUUUUUGCCAAUAUUACUCCAUUUAAACUUCCUAUUGAAACAAUAUUACCUUGUUCAACAUUCCUCUGUAACACCACAAAUAAAAGAAGCAGGAAUAAGAAAUAGCAGUUCAUGUUUGAAUUAAAGAAGGUUUGGGACCCAACACAAUGUAAUCUAUAUUAUGAGAAUUAGAAGGCAUAUGGUAUGUAUACAAACCUUUCUCAAGUCAUUGUCUGAUAAGUUCUCGACCAUCUUGGCCCCUGAAGAAAGGAAUCCACGUCCUAGAGAGCUAUAUGCAACGAUCCCAAUGCCAAGUUCUCUGAGAAAAUAAGAAGGAUGAGUUAGAAAUUAAACUUUUAAAUGCUCUUCAAACAGCUUUUUCGGUCUACCGCCUUACCUGCAAGUUGGAACUAUGUCUUCUUCUACAUCUCUUGACCACAAGGACCACUCCAACUGCACAGAUGUUAUGGGAUGAACUGCAUGUGCUCUUCUGAUUGUUGAAGCAGAGGCCGCAGACAGACCUAUGUACUUUAUCUUACCCUCUUCAACUAGCUUCUUCAGUUCUCCCAUCUUACCGACGAGCAUAUAAAAAAAAGAAAGAUUAAUUACAAAAAAUAAAAUAAAAUAAAAAAUAAAGUUUGAAUUGAUAGGAAUAAAUCAUUUAUAUUAUAAGUUUACCCUAGAUAAGGUAAAGAGGAUUCUUACUACGAUACCAGUGAUUUUUAGAAAGGCCUCAAUUUAGUUACUAUAAUUUAAUCUUACUAUUAAUGAAUCUAAGGGUCAAAUCUAUAAGAUGUAUAUAGGCUUUUAAUGGAAUAAAAUUGGAAAUCAAAAGCAUAUUUAAUUGAUUUAAGAAACUAUGCUUAAAAAAAAACAUCUAAGUUUUGCAUGCAAUAUUAGGUGUAGGAUUCAAUUUGAUCGUGAUUGAUUUUGAUCUUAAACCCUAGAUUUUAUUUGCUCUCUCUCUAAGGAUUUGACACUGCAUCAAGAAACUCUUCAUAACAUUUUUCUUUGUUAGAUUUAUUUCAUUAAAUAUGUUAAGAAAAUUUUGUUCAUAUUUUAUCCUUAUUUAUUUAAAUUAAGGUAUCAUUAAUAUUAGAAAAUAAUUAAUCUUUCUACACAUUAAGUUGAUCCUAAAGGACAAUGAUCCAAAAUACUAUAAACUCAUGGUAAAUCCAUCUUUUGUUUUUCUUGGCCAAAGUUAUCAAAUAUUUAGGGUUUAGUAUUUUAAUUACAACAAAGGUUUAUGAUCGUAAAUCUCACAAACCCAAAAUUCUUCCACCCAAUGGCUCUCUUUCUUCUUGAAUUUAAGCAUUGGAGAUGGUGAAAGUCUCACGGAGAGGUGGUGGUUAGGACUUUCCUCUCUCUAGAGUGCAUAGGAAGACAAAAUUGAAUCCCCAACCCCUAAGGGGAAUUUAUAUAGACUUCUAGUGGAUUUAAGUAACUUGAGCAUGUAUUGAGUUUAGGUCAUUUAAUACAGUCCAAGUGACUUGUCCCGUGGAUCAAACCAUAACAAUACUAGGGUAUACACUUGGAAUAAUGCCUUAUUGAUGGUAUCUAUGAUGGCAUGCUAGAUACAAUAACAAUAGCCUUUAUUGUUAGUCUCCUAAUUAGUAUAAUACUAAAACAAAACUAUCAGCUCCAUUGGCCUGAUAGUGAUGAUGAAAUAAUUCUUUAUUGAUAACACACUAUUUGAUAGUGAAAUAUUAGAGCAAACCUUACUAGCUCCAUUAAUUAGGCCUUGAUGGCACUAAGAGGUUGACAUAAUAUCUCAUUGAUAACACCUUGUAUGUUAGAACAAUGGUUUCAAAUACCACUCUUCCAUUUGUUUUUAGUGAAAUGUAAACAUAAAAAUCACUAGCUUCAUUGUCAAAUCAUGACAAUAAAAAGACAUUGGAAUAAUGCCUCAUUGAUGACAUACUAAAUGUUGGAGUAGUAAGUAACCCAUUCUGUCAGUUCUUCAAUUAGAGACUCAUACAAUUGGCCUCCAUUAUUAAUUGCAAUGAUGUUAAAGGUUCUAUACUAGUUAGUAUAACACAUCUGCCUCUCCAUUAAUACUACAAUAUACUAAAGGUCAAGUAGAACAAAGAACUAGUGUACAACUAGCGAUACUAAAAGAAUAACUCCUUAUGAUCUAUUUUUCAAUGAAAAUAAGCUAACCUUAUUACAUUGGUUAAACUUCUCAUACUAAUCUUAAGUAGACAAAAAAAAUUAGAUGAUAUAAUUUACCCUAGAGUUUAUUAAGAAUGGAUGAUUUUUCCAUUUAAUAAGGUCAAUCUAAAGUAGACAAGAUAAAUGAAGUUCUUGAUGGGAGCCAUUUGCAAAGAUCGAAUUGAAUUAGGUCCAGGAUCCGAGGCCAAAAUUCAAUUUGUAAAGAUAGUUAUUGUUGUGGGACAUGUCUCUCAAUAAAAAAUUAAUAUCUCUUCAUGUUAGUCACCUGGAUUAUAGAGAAAAAAUAAAGUUAUAAGGGAAAAACGUAUUUCCAUACACUCAUAUGAAAAAAUACCGGUUGUAUACUAGUUAGGAUAACACAUUUGCCUCUCCAUUAAUACUACAGUAAACUAAAGGUCAAGUAGAAUAAGGAACUAGUGUGCAACUAGCAAUACUAAAAGAAUAACUCCUUGUGAUCUAUUUUUCAAUGAAAAUAAGCUAACCUUACUACAUUAAUCAAACUUCUCAUACUAAUUUGAAGUAGACAAAAAAAAUUAGGUGAUAAAUUACCCUAGAGUUUAUUAAGAAGUAGAUACUCUAGGGAGGACAACCCACUUAUUUGAAGGAAAUAGAUGGGAGGACCACUCAUUUAUUUGAAGAAAAUAGAUGAGAACAAUUUCACUGAUGACCCAUGACUAACCCACACUAGUCUUCCUCUUAAAAAUGAAUGAAGAAGGUUGUCUUGACCGGCAAUGAAAAAAAUUAAAAAUAUAGUGUGGAGCACGUGAGGUUCAUGUAUUGUGCAUGCUUUUCUUGGAUUUCCUCUUUAUCCAUUUAUAGCAGUGAAUUCGUUCCAAAAAUCCAGAUUUUUCAAUGGCAAAAUCCUCCUUUGCAUCAACAGCCAAUGUGCUGCCUUUUCUUUGUGUUGCCACAUGUCCUUUUUCCUUUUCAGUUUUCAAUAAUAUAACCACAUCCCUAAUUUUCCUAACUUCCCUUAAUUUCAAACAUAUUUCUCAUAUAUUUUUCUUUUAUAUUAUUUUAUAGUGAAGUUAAAUAUAAGAAAAUAAUUUUAUUCAACACUUUGUACUAAGAAAGGGAUAUGAAGUUCUUGAUGGGAGCCAUUUGCAAAGACCGAAUUGGAUUAGGUCCAAGAUUCGAGGCCAAAAUUCAAUUUGUAAAGACAGUUAUUAUUGUGGGACAUGUCUCUCAAUAAAAAAAAUUAAUCUCUCUUCAUCUUAGGCACUUGGAUUGUAGAGAAAAAAAUACUAAAAAAAAAUUAUUAAAGUUACAUUAGCAAUUAGGGAAAACAUGUUUUCAUACACUCAUAUAAAAAUAAAACCGUAAAAUAGAACUCAAGUUUAUAAAAUACAAAUUUUAAGUAACUAUCUAAAAAUAAUUAGUAUUUCAUACACUUUUUUAUCAAAUGUAGUACAUUUGACCAACUUAAGUACUACUUUCAUCAAUAAAAAAAUGAAACUUGAAUUAUUUUUAGAAGGUUCUUAUUUUAUAAUUAUUUUCACGUGAGUGUGUAAAAACUCACUUUUCCUAACAAUUAUGAUGGAUUGGCUAAUUGGUAACUUAGCACUCCAAUGGACAGACUUUCUAUUUUGAUUUUUAAAAAGAGUAAGUUGAAGUAAUUUAUUUAUAAAUAUAGUAACUAUGAUGUAAAUAAGUAUGUAUAUAUGAUGACACAUGGUAGCAUUUACAAGUCAAUGAUCCGCCUAAAAAUAAGAUUUAGAGUCCAUUUGCUAAUAAUUUUAAGAUUUAGAGUCCUUUUGGUAAUAAUUUUAAAAAAAAUCUAUUAUGUAAAUGUUAAAAAAUCUAGAAACGUUUUCUGAAAUCAAUGUCAAAUGCACUUUUCAUGUUGUUUUGUGUUCUUGUAUUUUAGGACUGAUAAUGUAAUUUUAAACUCCUGCAAUGCCCAAGCUCCUAAUUUAUUCAACUCCUUUUUAUUAAAACUUUAGUAUUAUGAUCCUCAGAAAAUCAUAAAAACACACUGCCUCACACAAAACACUCUCUAUGAUGCAGUAACCUCUAGGAACUCCAUAGUUUCUCAACACUCCAAAAACACAUAAAAUGCAAAUACAUACGAGUUUCCGAGGCAAUAAGGAGUUACUUUAAUUGUACUGCAAGUCUGCAAGGAUCAUGCCUCUUUCAAGCUUUCCAGGAAUCAAGGGGUGGAGUGUCUGCUGUCUUCCAUGUAAAUGCAGUGCUCUCAUAUCUAUCACCCUUAACACCAUCUGCUGAAGCAAUGGAUUCUAGUUCAGCCAUUUCUUCUGGAGUUAGUUUCACUGACAAAGCCCCAAUGUUUUGUUUGAGGUUUUCAAUCUUGGUAGUUCCCGGUAUGGGACACACAUCAUCGCCCUGGUGAUGGACCCAGGCCAGUGCUAGCUGUGAUGGAGUGCAUCCCUUCCUUGUCGCAAUUUCACUAACCCUCUCAUAAAGGAUUUUAUUAUGCCCAAGAUUCUCUGGCUGGAACCUUGGUAG
Molecule: long non-coding RNA, 5872 nt
Filed under: Vitis vinifera (wine grape)
Lineage: Eukaryota; Viridiplantae; Streptophyta; Magnoliopsida; Vitales; Vitaceae
Description: long non-coding RNA (VVIN_LNC001562)
Source: RNAcentral